CCGAUAUUUGCAAAAUAACAAGUUGCUUGAUGGAAACUUUGAUGAACUCUUAUAUAUUACUAUAUAACUUUUCUGCUUCAAGAUUUGGUAGCUAAAACAUUCUUUAUGUAAAUAUGAACCAAUGAAAUAAUAAGAAAGAUAUAUGCAUGCAAACGUUUUCCUUAUAAUGGUGGAUCUCCGUGUAAAACGAUCCAAAUUGUCACACAACAGCGAUAAAAAAAAUGUCAAAUAAACAUAGAAAAAUCUAUGUUAGCUACCUGAAUUUUCACAUGUACCUCUGAUAUAUCUUACCUGUCGG
This 298-nucleotide long non-coding RNA is filed under the name Mytilus galloprovincialis (Mediterranean mussel). The record is from RNAcentral. Lineage: Eukaryota; Metazoa; Mollusca; Bivalvia; Mytilida; Mytilidae.